GUCCUGAAUCCAGAGGCACCUUUUUUCGUGAGUGCACUCAGCGAGACAGAUGGACAUCCAGUGGACCUCUAUCCAGUCUCAAACUUGAAUCCAUGGGCACCAGUUUUCCACGGGUAAAUUGUGGCAUCUGUCAGUGUAAAAUGGAUUUUGGAUUCUCCACCCACACUGAAGCAGAGAGGAUGUGGAUGAAUCUCUGUCAUGAGGGAUUUUGGCCACAUUCUCGAGUGCACAUGUGAAAGGAAAGUACUGAC
Long non-coding RNA from Schistocerca americana (American grasshopper), 251 nucleotides. RefSeq lists it as uncharacterized. Lineage: Eukaryota; Metazoa; Arthropoda; Insecta; Orthoptera; Acrididae. The transcript has 3 exons. The record is from RefSeq and is a predicted model, not a curated record.